GUAGUCAUUCAUGUGGAAUUCAAAGCAAUCCUUCAAAGGAGUCCUUCAGAAAGCAAUAGUCGUUUCACCAUCCAGACUGAAAAGAAGCAUCUAAGCUAAAGCAAAUAAUAUCUCUGCGAUGGGCAACAAGCCAAAGAUCAAACAGUUCAUGUGGAUCAUUUAUGUCAUCACCGUCAUCUUUCUAAUAUAUUACACCUACAGCACAGGACUAUUCUACCAUUGGAUGCUUUGGAAGUACAAUGGAACAGUCCCAACAAUUCUAGAUGAGCCACAUAUGACUCACAACAGUAGUCCAGAACAUGCUGGUUCCCAGGGACCAUACACUCUUGCAGCAGUUAAAGGGACAAAGACCUUUCUGAUAUCAGCUUAUC
Molecule: non-coding RNA, 371 nt
Organism: Maylandia zebra (zebra mbuna)
Lineage: Eukaryota; Metazoa; Chordata; Actinopteri; Cichliformes; Cichlidae
Source: RefSeq, a predicted model, not a curated record